Molecule: small RNA, 97 nt
Filed under: Salmonella enterica subsp. enterica serovar Cerro
Lineage: Bacteria; Pseudomonadati; Pseudomonadota; Gammaproteobacteria; Enterobacterales; Enterobacteriaceae
Description: partial RtT sRNA
Rfam family: RtT RNA
About the family: This family represents a bacterial cis-regulatory element known as RtT RNA. The exact function of RtT is unknown although it is thought that it may be involved in changing the cellular response in relation to amino acid starvation.
Source: RNAcentral
UAUCUCUCCGUACGGGGAAGGAUGAGAAGCUUCGACUAAGGUUCGAUUCGAGCGAAAGCGAGAAAGCGUUGCCGUAGGCAACGACCCGAAGGGCGAA